UGCACUUACAACUGUAAGUGGCUUCGGAUAAAAGCGUCUGCUAAAUGGCAUAUG
Salmo salar (Atlantic salmon) is the source of this 54-nucleotide non-coding RNA. NCBI's taxonomy places the organism in Eukaryota, Metazoa, Chordata, Actinopteri, Salmoniformes, Salmonidae. The record is from Rfam.